RNAcentral lists this non-coding RNA (24 nucleotides) under Arabidopsis thaliana (thale cress). Lineage: Eukaryota; Viridiplantae; Streptophyta; Magnoliopsida; Brassicales; Brassicaceae. The record is from RNAcentral.
UCUCACAAGCGUCACGUCUUAUGA